Molecule: microRNA precursor, 104 nt
Filed under: Canis lupus familiaris (dog)
Lineage: Eukaryota; Metazoa; Chordata; Mammalia; Carnivora; Canidae
Also listed under: 1 other name
Description: mir-8834 microRNA precursor family
Rfam family: mir-8834 microRNA precursor family
Source: Rfam by way of RNAcentral
AGGAGGAACAGCCCCAGUGGCGGGGCAGCUCUGGAAACCUGGAUUCAGCUCCUGCAGGAACUCCGGAGCUCUCCGUCUGCAGGGCCUGGAGGCUCCAGGGCGGG